This 407-nucleotide unclassified non-coding RNA is filed under the name Hevea brasiliensis (rubber tree). Lineage: Eukaryota; Viridiplantae; Streptophyta; Magnoliopsida; Malpighiales; Euphorbiaceae. The record is from RNAcentral.
CAGCCUUGUAUCUGGUACAAGCAAACUGUUGUGCAUCUUCACUCGUCCCUGGCUCUUGUUUCAGAAAUUGGUUACAAGGAAAUGCCAAGAUUUCAAAACCUUGGUCCUUAUACUUGUUAUAAAGAUCGGUCAACUGGGUGUAAUUCGAAUCUGUAAAUCCACAUUUAGAGGCGACAUUAACCACGAGAAGAACCUUGCCUUUGUAGAUGCUGAAGUCGACAUCCUGACCCCGGGCAUCCUUGACAGAGAAUUCAUGGAUGGAUUUCUCUGGGACAGAUGGAGAAGCACCCAUCCCUGUUCUCUGACCUGUCCAACUGGGACUAGAAACACCUAAAUCCUCUGCCCUCACUAAUGGGUUUUAGGAUUCUAUCCACUACCCACCCCAAAGGAUUAAUCAUUGCUGAUUG